ACGCUGGCGGCGUGCCUAAUACAUGCAAGUCGAACGCACGAAGUUGAAGAGCUUGCUCUUUAACCAAGUGAGUGGCGGACGGGUGAGUAACACGUGGGUAACCUGCCCAUUAGAGGGGGAUAACAUUCGGAAACGGAUGCUAAUACCGCAUAGUUUCAGGAAUCGCAUGAUUCUUGAAGGAAAGGUGGCUUCGGCUACCACUAAUGGAUGGACCCGCGGCGUAUUAGCUAGUUGGUGAGGUAAUGGCUCACCAAGGCAAUGAUACGUAGCCGACCUGAGAGGGUGAUCGGCCACACUGGGACUGAGACACGGCCCAGACUCCUACGGGAGGCAGCAGUAGGGAAUCUUCCGCAAUGGACGAAAGUCUGACGGAGCAACGCCGCGUGAGUGAAGAAGGUUUUCGGAUCGUAAAACUCUGUUGUUAAAGAAGAACAAGGAUGAGAGUAACUGCUCAUCCCCUGACGGUAUUUAACCAGAAAGCCACGGCUAACUACGUGCCAGCAGCCGCGGUAAUACGUAGGUGGCAAGCGUUGUCCGGAUUUAUUGGGCGUAAAGCGAGCGCAGGCGGUUCUUUAAGUCUGAUGUGAAAGCCCCCGGCUCAACCGGGGAGGGUCAUUGGAAACUGGAGAACUUGAGUGCAGAAGAGGAGAGUGGAAUUCCACGUGUAGCGGUGAAAUGCGUAGAUAUGUGGAGGAACACCAGUGGCGAAGGCGACUCUCUGGUCUGUAACUGACGCUGAGGCUCGAAAGCGUGGGGAGCAAAC
RNAcentral lists this ribosomal RNA (763 nucleotides) under uncultured bacterium. RNAcentral describes it as "bacterial SSU rRNA". It matches the Rfam family "Bacterial small subunit ribosomal RNA", at positions 33 to 773 of the family's 1533-position model. The record is from RNAcentral.